This 1436-nucleotide ribosomal RNA is filed under the name uncultured bacterium. RNAcentral describes it as "bacterial SSU rRNA". It matches the Rfam family "Bacterial small subunit ribosomal RNA". The record is from RNAcentral.
AGAGUUUGAUCCUGGCUCAGGACGUACGCUGGCGGCACGCCUAAUACAUGCAAGUCGAACGAAGUAGCAAUACUUAGUGGCAGACGGGUGAGUAACAUGUGGGUAUCUUCCCUUUGGUGAGGAAUAACACGAGGAAACUUGUGCUAAUACCUCAUAAGUCUUUACGGAGAAAGCUUUAUGCGCCAUUGGAUGAGCCCGCACUUGAUUAGUUUGUUGGUGGGGUAAUGGCCUACCAAGACAAUGAUCAAUAGCUGAUUUGAGAGGAUGAUCAGCCACAUUGGGACUGAGACACGGCCCAAACUUCUACGGAAGGCAGCAGUAGGGAAUCUUGCACAAUGGAGGAAACUCUGAUGCAGCGAUGCCGCGUGAGUGAAGAAGGCCCUUGGGUUGUAAAGCUCUUUCGUCGGGGAAGAAAAUGACUGUACCCGAAUAAGAAGGUCCGGCUAACUUCGUGCCAGCAGCCGCGGUAAUACGAAGGGACCUAGCGUAGUUCGGAAUUACUGGGCUUAAAGAGUUCGUAGGUGGUUAAAAAAGUUGGUGGUGAAAUCCCAGAGCUUAACUCUGGAACUGCCAUCAAAACUUUUUAGCUAGAGUAUGAUAGAGGAAAGCAGAAUUUCUAGUGUAGAGGUGAAAUUCGUAGAUAUUAGAAAGAAUACCAAUUGCGAAGGCAGCUUUCUGGAUCAUUACUGACACUGAGGAACGAAAGCAUGGGUAGCGAAGAGGAUUAGAUACCCUCGUAGUCCAUGCCGUAAACGAUGUGUGUUAGACGUUGGAAAUUUAUUUUCAGUGUCGCAGCGAAAGCAAUAAACACACCGCCUGGGGAGUACGACCGCAAGGUUAAAACUCAAAUGAAUUGACGGGGACCCGCACAAGUAGUGGAGCAUGUGGUUUAAUUCGAAGAUACGCGCAGAACCUUACCAACACUUGACAUGUUCGUCGCGACUCUAAGAGAUUAGAGUUUUCGGUUCGGCCGGACGGAACACAGGUGCUGCAUGGCUGUCGUCAGCUCGUGUCGUGAGAUGUUGGGUUAAGUCCCGCAACGAGCGCAACCCUUACUUUUAGUUGCCAUCAUUUAGUUGGGCACUCUGAAAGAACUGCCAGUGAUAAGCUGGAGGAAGGUGGGGAUGACGUCAAGUCCUCAUGGCCCUUACGUGUUGGGCUACACACGUGCUACAAUGGCAUUUACAAUAGGAAGCAAGACGGCGACGUCAAGCAAAUCCUAAAAAGAUGCCUCAGUUCGGAUUGUACUCUGCAACUCGAGUACAUGAAGCUGGAAUUACUAGUAAUCGCGGAUCAGCGCGCCGCGGUGAAUACGUUCCCGGGUCUUGUACACACCGCCCGUCACACCAUGGGAGUUGGUUCUACCUUAAGGCAAAGUUUAAAACCUUUGACCACGGUAUAGUCAGCGACUGGGGUGAAGUCGUAACAAGGUAACC